This 459-nucleotide ribosomal RNA is filed under the name uncultured bacterium. Its description in RNAcentral is "partial 16S ribosomal RNA". It matches the Rfam family "Bacterial small subunit ribosomal RNA", at positions 338 to 795 of the family's 1533-position model. The record is from RNAcentral.
CCUACGGGAGGCAGCAGUGAGGAAUAUUGGUCAAUGGCCGGGAGGCUGAACCAGCCAAGUCGCGUGAGGGAAGACGGCCCUACGGGUUGUAAACCUCUUUUGUCAGGGAGCAAGGUGCAGGUCGGGACCUGCUGUGAGAGUACCUGAAGAAAAAGCAUCGGCUAAGUCCGUGCCAGCAGCCGCGGUAAUACGGAGGAUGCGAGCGUUAUCCGGAUUUAUUGGGUUUAAAGGGUGCGCAGGCGGAGGCACAAGUCAGCGGUAAAAUCGCGGGGCUCAACCCCGCUCCGCCGUUGAAACUGUGGCCCUUGAGUGCGCGAAGGGUAGGCGGAAUGCGUGGUGUAGCGGUGAAAUGCAUAGAUAUCACGCAGAACUCCGAUCGCGAAGGCAGCCUACCGGCGCGCAACUGACGCUCAUGCACGAAAGCGUGGGUAUCGAACAGGAUUAGAUACCCUAGUAGUC